This 386-nucleotide ribosomal RNA is filed under the name uncultured bacterium. Its description in RNAcentral is "bacterial SSU rRNA". It matches the Rfam family "Bacterial small subunit ribosomal RNA", at positions 29 to 416 of the family's 1533-position model. The record is from RNAcentral.
AUUGAACGCUGGCGGCAUGCUUUACACAUGCAAGUCGAGCGGCAGCGCGGGGGCAACCCUGGCGGCGAGCGGCGAACGGGUGAGUAAUGCAUCGGAACGUACCCUGGAGUGGGGGAUAACGCCGCGAAAGCGGCGCUAAUACCGCAUAUGCUCUGAGGAGGAAAGUGGGGGACCGCAAAGGCCUCACGCUCUGGGAGCGGCCGAUGUCCGAUUAGCUAGUUGGUGGGGUAAAGGCUUACCAAGGCGACGAUCGGUAGCUGGUCUGAGAGGAUGAUCAGCCACACUGGGACUGAGACACGGCCCAGACUCCUACGGAGGCAGCAGUGGGGAAUUUUGGACAAUGGGGGCAACCCUGAUCCAGCCAUGCCGCGUGAGUGAAGAAGGCC